Molecule: long non-coding RNA, 439 nt
Filed under: Salmo salar (Atlantic salmon)
Lineage: Eukaryota; Metazoa; Chordata; Actinopteri; Salmoniformes; Salmonidae
Description: lncRNA (ENSSSAG00000082001.1)
Source: RNAcentral
GUGAAAUGUCUGGGUCCAGGCCACUGUUUUACAAUGGUGUUUUCCUGUGAAAUGUCUUGGUCCAGGCCACUGUUUUAGAAUGGUGUUUUCCUGUGAAAUGUCUUGGUCCAGGCCACUGUUUAGAAUGGUGUUUUCCUGUGAAAUGUCUUGGUCCAGGCCACUGUUUAGAAUGGUGUUUUCCUGUGAAAUGUCUUGGACCAGGCCACUGUUUAGAAUGGUGUUUUCCUGUGAAAUGUCUUGGACCAGGCCCCCCAUUGACCAAAUGUCUUGGACCAGGCCUGGGCCCCCAAUGAUCAAAUGUCUUGGACCAAGCCUGGGCCCCCACUGACCAAAUGUUUUGGACCGGGCCUGGGCCCCCACUGACCUAAUGUCUUGGACCGGGCCUGGGCCCCCACUGACCUAAUGUCUUGGACCGGGCCUGGGCCCCCACUGACCUAAU